This 364-nucleotide long non-coding RNA is filed under the name Nicotiana tabacum (common tobacco). Its description in RNAcentral is "long non-coding RNA (NTAB_LNC016844)". Lineage: Eukaryota; Viridiplantae; Streptophyta; Magnoliopsida; Solanales; Solanaceae. The record is from RNAcentral.
UCGGAGAGAUGCAUGAUUUCCCAUAAUUCACUCCCUUAAUUAAACGGAACUGCAUGCCCAUCUGUCUAAACGUGUUGAGAGGAGAAUGGUUAAUUAAAAUGAUAGCCUCCUUCCACAUUCCCAAGCUUAUAUAGUAGCCAAACAUCAGACCCAACACUUCUCGUAGCCCCUUUUUUCAAUUUGUAGCCACUUUUUAACACCUUGUAGCCUACAGAACUAGAAGUAAAAAAAAUGUCAUCGGAGAAAACAAAAACAAAGGACUUGUCGGAAUCCGAUGUGUCCUGUCUCAGUUUCGAGGAAACUGAACUCACUCUUGGGUUACGCCGAGAUUCAGAAAAACAAAUCUGUGGUGCGAAACGUGGAC